CCUACGGGUGGCAGCAGUGAGGAAUAUUGGUCAAUGGACGAGAGUCUGAACCAGCCAAGUAGCGUGAAGGAUGACUGCCCUAUGGGUUGUAAACUUCUUUUAUAUGGGAAUAAAAUGUUCCACGUGUGGGAUUUUGUAUGUACCCUAUGAAUAAGGAUCGGCUAACUCCGUGCCAGCAGCCGCGGUAAUACGGAGGAUCCGGGCGUUAUCCGGAUUUAUUGGGUUUAAAGGGAGCGUAGGCGGAUUGUUAAGUCGGCUGUGAAAGUUUGCGGCUCAACCGGAGAAUUGCAGUUGAAACUGGCGGUCUUGAGUACAGGAGAGGUAGGCGGAAUUCGUGGUGUAGCGGUGAAAUGCUUAGAUAUGACGAAGAACUCCGAUUGCGAAGGCAGUUCACUGGACUGCAACUGACGCUGAGGCUCGAAAGUGUGGGUAUCGAACAGGAUUAGAUACCCUUGUAGUC
Molecule: ribosomal RNA, 460 nt
Filed under: uncultured bacterium
Lineage: Bacteria
Description: partial 16S ribosomal RNA
Rfam family: Bacterial small subunit ribosomal RNA
Source: RNAcentral